CAGGUCUUGACAUCCUCUGACAAUCCUAGAGAUAGGACGUUCCCCUUCGGGGGACAGAGUGACAGGUGGUGCAUGGUUGUCGUCAGCUCGUGUCGUGAGAUGUUGGGUUAAGUCCCGCAACGAGCGCAACCCUUGUCCUUAGUUGCCAGCAUUCAGUUGGGCACUCUAAGGAGACUGCCGGUGACAAACCGGAGGAAGGUGGGGAUGACGUCAAAUCAUCAUGCCCCUUAUGACCUGGGCUACACACGUGCUACAAUGGAUGGUACAAAGGGCUGCGAGACCGCGAGGUUUAGCCAAUCCCAUAAAACCAUUCUCAGUUCGGAUUGUAGGCUGCAACUCGCCUACAUGAAGCCGGAAUCGCUAGUAAUCGUGGAUCAGCAUGCCACGGUGAAUACGUUCCC
Molecule: ribosomal RNA, 401 nt
Filed under: uncultured soil bacterium
Lineage: Bacteria
Description: bacterial SSU rRNA
Rfam family: Bacterial small subunit ribosomal RNA
Source: RNAcentral